UGCAAGUCGAGCGGACAGAUGGGAGCUUGCUCCCUGAUGUUAGCGGCGGACGGGUGAGUAACACGUGGGUAACCUGCCUGUAAGACUGGGAUAACUCCGGGAAACCGGGGCUAAUACCGGAUGCUUGAUUGAACCGCAUGGUUCAAUUAUAAAAGGUGGCUUUUAGCUACCACUUACAGAUGGACCCGCGGCGCAUUAGCUAGUUGGUGAGGUAACGGCUCACCAAGGCAACGAUGCGUAGCCGACCUGAGAGGGUGAUCGGCCACACUGGGACUGAGACACGGCCCAGACUCCUACGGGAGGCAGCAGUAGGGAAUCUUCCGCAAUGGACGAAAGUCUGACGGAGCAACGCCGCGUGAGUGAUGAAGGUUUUCGGAUCGUAAAACUCUGUUGUUAGGGAAGAACAAGUACCGUUCGAAUAGGGCGGUACCUUGACGGUACCUAACCAGAAAGCCACGGCUAACUACGUGCCAGCAGCCGCGGUAAUACGUAGGUGGCAAGCGUUGUCCGGAAUUAUUGGGCGUAAAGCGCGCGCAGGCGGUUUCUUAAGUCUGAUGUGAAAGCCCCCGGCUCAACCGGGGAGGGUCAUUGGAAACUGGGGAACUUGAGUGCAGAAGAGGAGAGUGGAAUUCCACGUGUAGCGGUGAAAUGCGUAGAGAUGUGGAGGAACACCAGUGGCGAAGGCGACUCUCUGGUCUGUAACUGACGCUGAGGCGCGAAAGCGUGGGGAGCGAACAGGAUUAGAUACCCUGGUAGUCCACGCCGUAAACGAUGAGUGCUAAGUGUUAGAGGGUUUCCGCCCUUUAGUGCUGCAGCAAACGCAUUAAGCACUCCGCCUGGGGAGUACGGUCGCAAGACUGAAACUCAAAGGAAUUGACGGGGGCCCGCACAAGCGG
RNAcentral lists this ribosomal RNA (896 nucleotides) under Bacillus licheniformis. Its description in RNAcentral is "bacterial SSU rRNA". It matches the Rfam family "Bacterial small subunit ribosomal RNA", at positions 56 to 932 of the family's 1533-position model. Lineage: Bacteria; Bacillati; Bacillota; Bacilli; Caryophanales; Bacillaceae. The record is from RNAcentral.